GACGAACGCUGGCGGCGUGCCUAACACAUGCAAGUCGAACGGGGAUUAAGAUUUCGGUUUUAAUCCUAGUGGCGAACGGGUGAGUAACGCGUGAAUAACCUGCCUUUCAGAGGGGGAUAACACCUGGAAACAAGUGCUAAUACCGCAUAAGACCACGCCUUGGCAUCGAGGAGAGGUCAAAGGAGUAAUCCGCUGAGAGAGGGGUUCGCGUCCCAUUAGGUAGUUGGUGAGGUAACGGCCCACCAAGCCGACGAUGGGUAGCCGAGCUGAGAGGCUGAUCGGCCACACUGGAACUGAGACACGGUCCAGACUCCUACGGGAGGCAGCAGUGGGGAAUAUUGGGCAAUGGGCGCAAGCCUGACCCAGCAACGCCGCGUGAGGGAAGAAGGUUUUCGGAUUGUAAACCUCUGUCGCAAGGGACGAAGAAGUGACGGUACCUUGUGAGGAAGCCCCGGCUAACUACGUG
Molecule: ribosomal RNA, 466 nt
Filed under: uncultured bacterium
Lineage: Bacteria
Description: bacterial SSU rRNA
Rfam family: Bacterial small subunit ribosomal RNA
Source: RNAcentral